GAUGAACGCUAGCUACAGGCUUAACACAUGCAAGUCGCGGGGCAGCAUGGGGGUUGCUUGCAACUCCCGAUGGCGACCGGCGCACGGGUGAGUAACGCGUAUCCAACCUGCCCUUCACCACGGGAUAACCCGGCGAAAGUCGGACUAAUACCGUAUGUUGUCCAUUGACGGCAUCCGAUUUGGACGAAAGGCUUUGCGGUGAAGGAUGGGGAUGCGUCCGAUUAGCCAGACGGCGGGGUAACGGCCCACCGUGGCGACGAUCGGUAGGGGUUCUGAGAGGAAGGUCCCCCACACUGGAACUGAGACACGGUCCAGACUCCUACGGGAGGCAGCAGUGAGGAAUAUUGGUCAAUGGGCGUAAGCCUGAACCAGCCAAGUAGCGUGCAGGAUGACGGCCCUAUGGGUUGUAAACUGCUUUUAUGCGGGGAUAAAGUGGCCCACGUGUGGGC
RNAcentral lists this ribosomal RNA (449 nucleotides) under Prevotella sp. oral taxon 472. RNAcentral describes it as "bacterial SSU rRNA". It matches the Rfam family "Bacterial small subunit ribosomal RNA", at positions 28 to 466 of the family's 1533-position model. Lineage: Bacteria; Pseudomonadati; Bacteroidota; Bacteroidia; Bacteroidales; Prevotellaceae. The record is from RNAcentral.